GUUGAUACAAUCCACAGAGCACGGGUCUCCAGCCGCACGCCCCUGGGUGUGUCUGAUCUUGGAAGCUAAGAUGGGUUAGAUGUGGUCAGUAAUUGGAUGGGAGAUUACAUUAAAAAACAACAACAGCA
Molecule: ribosomal RNA, 128 nt
Filed under: Microtus ochrogaster (prairie vole)
Lineage: Eukaryota; Metazoa; Chordata; Mammalia; Rodentia; Cricetidae
Source: RNAcentral